This 1287-nucleotide long non-coding RNA is filed under the name Homo sapiens (human). RNAcentral describes it as "HSALNT0302469". The record is from RNAcentral. Lineage: Eukaryota; Metazoa; Chordata; Mammalia; Primates; Hominidae.
AACAGGUGUGUGUUAGCCAGAGUGAUGUCAAUCAACUAAAGGUCUCAAAGCUGAGAGACAACUUGCAUGGGAAAAGAUCAACAGAAAAAUCUGAAACAUCAGGAGAACUUUCACACAGAAAACUAACAAAGAAAUUCUGGACUUAAACUUGACACUUGCCCAGUUGGUCUUAAUAGACAUCUAAAGAAUACUCCACCCAACAACUACAGAAUAUAUAUUCGUCUCAUCUGCAGACACAACAUACUUUAAAAAUGACUGCAUGUUUGGUCAGAGAGUCUCAACAAAUUUGGAAAAAUUAAAAUUAUACCCAACAUAUUCUCAGGUCGAAUGAAAUGCAAAUAGAAAUUACUGCCAAGAGGAAUUCUCAAAACCACACAAAUACGUGGAAAUUAAACACAUUGAUCCUGAAUGACCUUUGUAAAGCAAGAAAAUUAAGGCAAAAAUCAAAAAAUUAUUUGAAAAAAACAAAAAUUGUGACACAGUGUAACAAAACCUGUGAUAUUGCAAAAGAAGUGAUAAGAUUUGUAGCACUAAAUGCCUACAUCAAGAAAAUAGAAAUAUCUUGUUAACAACCUAACAUUACACCUAAAGAAAUAGAGAAAGAAGAACUAAAUUCUAAAUGAAGAACCCAGUUCUAGCAGAAGAAAAGAAAGAAUUAAAAUCAGAACAGAACUAAGUGAAAUUGAGAUAAAGAAAACUAUUCAAAGGAUCAACAAAAUGAAAAGUUUGUUUUUUGAAAGGAUAAACAAAAUUGAUAGACUGCUAGAUAAACAAAGGAAAAAAAGAAGAUCCAAAUAAGCACAAUCAGAUAUGACAAAGGUAACAUUACAACUGAUCUCGCAGAAAUAUAAAAGAUCCUCAGAGAUUACUAUGAACAUCUCUAUGCACACAACUAGAAAAUCUAGAGGAAAUAGAUAAAUUCCUGGAAAUAUACAACCUCCCAAGAUUGAAUCUGGAAGAAAAAGACACCCUAAAGAGACCAGUAAUGAGUUACAAAAUUGAAUAAGUAAUAAUAAAAAACUUACUAACCAGAAAAGCACCGGACCAGAUGGAUUUACAGCCAAAUUAUACCAGAUGUACAAAGAAGGAGAAUGCUGAGAGAAAAGGUGCCUCUGAGCCCAUAGAACAUGUUCAAAGCAGAGCUCUUACCCGAAGCAAGAGAGAAAGACCACAGCAGGUAACAUCACAGCCACUGGCAGAGCCUGUGAUCCAGGCCUGUGGACCUCCACAUCAUUCCAUGAAAGUGACAUUUGAAGAUAAUACCUUGAUCAAACACUAAAAUGCAAA